This 250-nucleotide ribosomal RNA is filed under the name uncultured bacterium. RNAcentral describes it as "partial 16S ribosomal RNA". It matches the Rfam family "Bacterial small subunit ribosomal RNA", at positions 524 to 773 of the family's 1533-position model. The record is from RNAcentral.
GACGGAGGGUGCGAGCGUUGUUCGGAAUUACUGGGCGUAAAGCGCGCGCAGGUGGGUGCGUAAGUCGGAGGUGAAAGCGCAGGGCUCAACCCUGCGACGCCCUUCGAGACUGCGUGUCUAGGGACCGGUAGAGGUGAGUGGAAUUCCCGGUGUAGCGGUGGAAUGCGUAGAUAUCGGGAAGAACACCGGAGGCGAAGGCGGCUCACUGGGCCGGAUCCGACACUGAGGCGCGAAAGCGUGGGGAGCAAAC